Molecule: ribosomal RNA, 545 nt
Filed under: uncultured Ascomycota
Lineage: Eukaryota; Fungi; Ascomycota
Description: SSU rRNA
Rfam family: Eukaryotic small subunit ribosomal RNA
Source: RNAcentral
UUGGAGGGCAAGUCUGGUGCCAGCAGCCGCGGUAAUUCCAGCUCCAAUAGCGUAUAUUAAAGUUGUUGCCGUUAAAAAGCUCGUAGUUGAACCUUGGACCUGGCUGAUCUGUCCUCCUAAUCGAGCGCACGGAUUCGGUCGGGUCUUUCCUUCUGGGGAGCCCUAUGCCCUUCACUGGGUGUAGUGGGGAACCAGGACUUUUACCUUGAAAAAAUUAGAGUGUUCAAAGCAGGCCUUUGCUCGAAUACAUUAGCAUGGAAUAAUAGAAUAGGACAUCGGUUCUAUUUUGUUGGUUUCUAGGACCGCUGUAAUGAUUAAUAGGGAUAGUCGGGGGCGUCAGUAUUCAAUUGUCAGAGGUGAAAUUCUUGGAUUUAUUGAAGACUAACUACUGCGAAAGCAUUCGCCAAGGAUGUUUUCAUUAAUCAGUGAACGAAAGUUAGGGGAUCGAAGACGAUCAGAUACCGUCGUAGUCUUAACCAUAAACUAUGCCGACUAGGGAUCGGACGGUGGUUUUUUUAUGCCCCGUUCGGCGCCUUACGGGAAAC